Molecule: ribosomal RNA, 520 nt
Filed under: uncultured Glomus
Lineage: Eukaryota; Fungi; Glomeromycota; Glomeromycetes; Glomerales; Glomeraceae
Description: SSU rRNA
Rfam family: Eukaryotic small subunit ribosomal RNA
Source: RNAcentral
AGCAGCCGCGGUAAUUCCAGCUCCAAUAGCGUAUAUUAAAGUUGUUGCAGUUAAAAAGCUCGUAGUCGAAUUUCGGGACCAAUCUGCCGGUCGUGCCUCCGGUAUGCACUGGUUUUAUUGGUUUCUCCCUUCUGACGAAUCAUGAUGUCAUUAAUUUGGUGUCAUGGGGAAUCAGGACUGUUACUUUGAAAAAAUUAGAGUGUUUAAAGCAGGCUCACGCUUGAAUACAUUAGCAUGGAAUAAUGAAAUAGGACGUUUGACCCUAUUUUGUUGGUUUCUAGGAUCGACGUAAUGAUUAAUAGGGAUAGUUGGGGGCAUUAGUAUUCAAUUGUCAGAGGUGAAAUUCUUGGAUUUAUUGAAGACUAACUACUGCGAAAGCAUUUGCCAAGGAUGUUUUCAUUAAUCAAGAACGAAAGUUAGGGGAUCGAAGACGAUCAGAUACCGUCGUAGUCUUAACCAUAAACUAUGCCGACUAGGGAUCGGAUGAUGUUAAUUUUUUAAUGACUCAUUCGGCGCCUUA